AAUAGUUGUCAUAUGAGAAUGUUGCAGUGCUCUUUCGUACCUGCUAGUGGACUACCGGGAGAAUUGUUUGUGUUACAUCAAUCGACGAUCUUUGACAUCAGGGGCAUCCGUUGGUGCGAGAGGAGUGUUUUUCCCACCUGCAUAAUUCUGAGGGCAAGAGUAUCUGUGAGGGGGCAACCGUGGAUGUAAGAAGCGAGGUGCUGGGUUGUGUUGGAUUUUUUGUGUAAAUUCCUGGCCUUUUCAUGCUGCUUUUCACAGAUUUUCUAGCCUUUGUUGUACCAUGAACGAUUGACCAAAUGUGUUUUUUUUUGUUACACUGUCCCGUGAUGGGAGCAUUGGUGUUUAACUUCAGAACUCUGAAUCAGUUUCAGCCCUUAUUCUCAAAACUCUAUGUUGCGGUUUUGUUCUAAAGGUGACCAGAACGUUAUACAGCCCGGGAACUUGCUAAAAGUAAUCUGUGAAUCUCUGCAAAACUUCCAAGUUUCUUAUUCGGCUUCUCUUCAAGGCCGAUGCUAUUGUAGACUCCGUUUCAUCUUUGAUAGCUGCUACAGUUCAACCCUUUUUUUUUCUCUCUUCAGAGGUUUAAUUUCUAGUGCCAUCAGCUGGAGUGGAAGUACAGUGGAGGUGCAGUUUCAUGAGAGAGCUGAAAAUAGAAUGAUCCCCAGAUACUCUCUAAGCUCGGAGAAGCCGUCUCGUUUCUUUCCAUUCGUGUACAUAGUUGAGCUUAGCUUUCCAGGCUUCCUUAUAUUGAGGAAAGUUUUAUUAACAUGAUUGCAUAAUGUUUUGUGGCCAUAAGCAACAUUGUCCAAUGCUGUAUCAUUGAUGUAUAAUGGCAAAUGAAGUUUAAGUUAUCAAUCACUUGAGGAACAGGCAUCGUGUAGUUACUUUAGAGAGAAAUAAUAACAUAAUUAGAAUGCAACAGUUAAUUGAAGAAGAGAUGUUAAUGCUAGAUUAACAUCUCUAAUUGUAUCCGCAUAUAAGAGUACUUGUUUGACAAUCCUUGUUCCCUCCCUUCUGAAAACCCAAGAAAGAAAGAAAG
Molecule: long non-coding RNA, 1039 nt
Organism: Populus euphratica (Euphrates poplar)
Lineage: Eukaryota; Viridiplantae; Streptophyta; Magnoliopsida; Malpighiales; Salicaceae
Exons: 2
Source: RefSeq, a predicted model, not a curated record